AUUAUGUUGUUGUGUUUAGAAUGUUUUAAGAAAUAUCAAAUAAUAAUAUGAAUGAGGAAUACCAAAAAGAAGAAAAUGGUACAAUGGUCAAUACAUAAAAUCGAAAGUCCCAUGUCCAAAUUGCGAUAAUAAAUACAUUGAGGCAUAUUGUACUAAAUGCAAUAAAUGGCAUAUUGUGCACUGCAGGGACUGGAACCGUAAAGAAAUUGACCGAUUUUGGACCAAAACCUUUUGAAAAUCUUGGAACCGAAACCGAAACCAGAAUCUAAAAUAAUAUACCAACGUUUUAAACUUUAGCCGACCAAUUUAAAGUUAUUAAUUGUUUGGUUAAGAACCGCUGCUUUAGAGUCUUAUUUUAAAUAUAACUGUAAACAAAUAUCACAUUUAAAAGAUAAAACUGAUAAUAACUUACUACAAUUACCACUUCUGAUAUCAUUUUAACUACCUAAAACGUAUACCUUCUUAAUAUAAACACAAAAUAAAUUAAAACUUUUAAUAUUGACAAUACUAUAUUGUUAAUAAUUAUUGUUUUUGUAAAAUACACAAUUUAUAAAAAGACCUGGGAUUCUAAUGCCCCAAAAAACCCAACAUAGAACAUAAUAUUAAUAUUAUAGUAUAGAUACCUACCAAUACCACAAAUUCUCUAAUAAUCACGAAUCAUGAUGGUAAUAAUAAUAAUAAUAAUAAAAAAGACACACAUAUAAUACAUGAUGAUAACACACGUAUUAAUUGUGAUCAUGGUCAAAUUAUUAUUAUUUGUCGUUAUUCGUUCCCAUAUAGAUUAUCGAAAAUGAUUACCUACCUGCCUACCUGUCAUUAUCGUACAUAUAGACGCGUCUAAAUAAUCACCCAUUCUGGUAAAAAUUCCGUUUUUAAUCCAGGUUUCGUUACGAAUUGAUAAUGAGCGAAGAUAGAAUGAUGGCUUAUGUGGAAUCGUAUUAUAAAGUAAAAUUGGAGCAUUUGACUAAAAAUAAAUUGCUAAUGGAAGAAUUGAAAAAAAAAUACGAUUUCUAUUUGUAUUUUUCUGAGUCUUCUUUGAAAAAGGAAAACAAGGCACAUAUAGACAUAACAAAGUGCCAGUAUAGCAAGCGACACAAAAUUAGCCAAAUUAAUAGCAUAUAAAAAAAACACUAACUGUUUACCUAUAUCAAGUAAAAAACAUUCAAUUUGGAUUCAAAAUAUAAUAAAAAAUAUAAGCAUACAUGGAUUAAAAGGAACUAGAUGUCACUGUUAAAGGUGUCAAUGUAGAAUACAACACAACCUUGUACUGUAAUAUGCUUCCAAACCAAUAAAAACAGUUGAUUGAAAAUUCUAAAAAAAUUUUAAAAUGUUGGAUUCGAAUACUAAAGUAUACUGAAGCAUGUAAUAUACUACUAGUGGAACAAAUUGUCUGCAUUAAAUGUUUUUGGAGUGCAGUUCUUAGCCCUAAUACUAAACUCAAUAAAUAUUAAAUGUUUCAUGGUAUGGAACACCUAUAAAUGCCAACAUGUUCCCACACAUCUCAAAUAAAAAAUAAAGUGACUGUUUACUUUGGAGUUUUGGACUUCUAAAUGAACGUUAAUCAGUCUACAGUCAAUAUGAAUAUUUGACUACACUGUCAUUCGGAGGAUUGUAUUACGAACCCCGUGCCGCCGCCUCAGUGAAUGAUGCACGUCGCGCGUAAUGCGCUGCGGUGGCCAUCAACCAAAUUUUAGAAAAAGCUCUUCGUCACGUACAAUAGAUUAAACCUUAUCCUAAUUCGGAAUAUUAUAUUUUGUUUAUUUUUGUACGUUUAGCCGUUUUUGAGAAAUAGCGUGGACAAACAUACAGACAGACAACCUAGCUGGCGAGAUACGAAGUUAAACAAAAACCUUUAAAAAUACUAUACUGUAGGUACAACUGGUACAAGUCAAAAGACAUAAUUUAAUGUAGGUAGGUAUACAUUGCAUUAUACCAUAAAUCAUAUUAUAAUAUAUUCAUAUUAAAGGACCUAACAACACUUUUUAGUAUUAAGGUUAAUGAUGUAUUAUUGUGGUCGAAAUAAUAAAAAAUAUUUUUGUAAAAAUCCGAAGUCAAAAAAAUUAUUAUUUAUCGAUAAAUAAUGAAUCAUAGAGCCGACAAGUGAGCAGCCGCCCAUGUUUGACGUGUAAAAGUAGUUUGAUUUACAUAAUGAUUUUAAUAACUUAACUUAUUUCAGAUUUUUGUUUUUCAUAAUCUUUUGUAUAUUUACUUGUUUAACAAGAUGGUGUGAUCUAAAAUUCAAUAUAUUUUGUAUAUCCCUGCAACAAAAGUCAAUGUAAAAAUAAUAAACUGUCUAAAAAAUUGCUCUAAAAGUUGUAUUAUAAUUUUAU
Long non-coding RNA from Acyrthosiphon pisum (pea aphid), 2330 nucleotides. RefSeq lists it as uncharacterized. NCBI's taxonomy places the organism in Eukaryota, Metazoa, Arthropoda, Insecta, Hemiptera, Aphididae. The record is from RefSeq and is a predicted model, not a curated record. The transcript is spliced from 7 exons.